RNAcentral lists this ribosomal RNA (400 nucleotides) under uncultured bacterium. RNAcentral's name for it is "bacterial SSU rRNA". It matches the Rfam family "Bacterial small subunit ribosomal RNA", at positions 30 to 430 of the family's 1533-position model. The record is from RNAcentral.
AUUGAACGCUGGCGGAAUGCUUUACACAUGCAAGUCGAACGGCAGCACGGGUGCUUGCACCUGGUGGCGAGUGGCGAACGGGUGAGUAAUGCACCGGAACGUAUCCAAUAAUGGGGGAUAACGCACCGAAAGGUGUGCUAAUACCGCAUACGCCCUGAGGGGGAAAGCGGGGGAUCGUAAGACCUCGCGUUAAUGGAGCGGCCGAUGCCGGAUUAGCUAGUUGGUGAGGUAAAGGCUCACCAAGGCGACGAUCCGUAGCUGGUCUGAGAGGACGACCAGCCACACUGGAACUGAGACACGGUCCAGACUCCUACGGGAGGCAGCAGUGGGGAAUUUUGGACAAUGGGCGCAAGCCUGAUCCAGCCAUUCCGCGUGAGUGAAGAAGGCCUCGGUUGUAAGA